AACCAUCAAAACUUGGGGCUUCGACUUUCACAUUCCUAAAAAUAUGCUCAUCUUGAUCGAACUGGUUAUGAUGCGGGCGUGCCCCUAUAGGUCGAUCAAGUUCUAGAUUCCUACCUCUUUAUCCUAUAGAUAGUCGGGGAGACUCAGGUUCAGGUUGUUUCUGCCUAGCUUCUUCUAAUACCACUAUUCUCUCAUCCAUGGCUUUCAUAAAAUUUUUCAUGUCAUCAAACUUUUCAGUCAGAGCAUUAAUGAUGGCUGCUAUAUUG
RNAcentral lists this long non-coding RNA (266 nucleotides) under Elaeis guineensis (African oil palm). RNAcentral's name for it is "long non-coding RNA (EGUI_LNC055851)". Lineage: Eukaryota; Viridiplantae; Streptophyta; Magnoliopsida; Arecales; Arecaceae. The record is from RNAcentral.